Molecule: ribosomal RNA, 445 nt
Filed under: uncultured bacterium
Lineage: Bacteria
Description: bacterial SSU rRNA
Rfam family: Bacterial small subunit ribosomal RNA
Source: RNAcentral
AACGAACGCUGGCGGCAUGCCUAAUACAUGCAAGUCGAACGAACACUUCGGUGUUAGUGGCGCACGGGUGCGUAACGCGUGGGAAUCUACCCUUGGGUUCGGAAUAACAGUUAGAAAUGACUGCUAAUACCGGAUGAUGACGUAAGUCCAAAGAUUUAUCGCCCAAGGAUGAGCCCGCGUAAGAUUAGCUAGUUGGUAGGGUAAAGGCCCUACCAAGGCUACGAUCUUUAGCUGGUCUGAGAGGAUGAUCAGCCACACUGGGACUGAGACACGGCCCAGACUCCUACGGGAGGCAGCAGUAGGGAAUAUUGGACAAUGGGGGGAAACCCUGAUCCAGCAAUGCCGCGUGAGUGAUGAAGGCCUUAGGGUUGUAAAGCUCUUUUACCCGAGAUGAUAAUGACAGUAUCGGGAGAAUAAGCUCCGGCUAACUCCGUGCCAGCAGCCG